UACGUAGGGUGCGAGCGUUGUCCGGAAUUAUUGGGCGUAAAGAGCUUGUAGGCGGUUUGUCGCGUCUGCUGUGAAAAUCCGGGGCUCAACCCCGGACUUGCAGUGGGUACGGGCAGACUAGAGUGUGGUAGGGGAGACUGGAAUUCCUGGUGUAGCGCUGAAAUGCGCAGAUAUCAGGAGGAACACCGGUGGCGAAGGCGGGUCUCUGGGCCGAUACUGACGCUGAGGAGCGAAAGCGUGGGGAGCGAACAGG
Molecule: ribosomal RNA, 253 nt
Filed under: uncultured bacterium
Lineage: Bacteria
Description: partial 16S ribosomal RNA
Rfam family: Bacterial small subunit ribosomal RNA
Source: RNAcentral